RNAcentral lists this unclassified non-coding RNA (253 nucleotides) under Goodenia rotundifolia. RNAcentral describes it as "partial miscellaneous RNA". The stretch from base 181 to 232 matches the Rfam family "tRNA". Lineage: Eukaryota; Viridiplantae; Streptophyta; Magnoliopsida; Asterales; Goodeniaceae. The record is from RNAcentral.
UCACGACGUUGUAAAACGACGUUAUGCAUGAACGUAAUGCUCAUAAUUUCCCUCUAGACUUAGCUGCUAUUGAAGCUCCAUCCACAAAGGGCUAAGACUUUGCUUUGAUUGUCUAGUAUUUUUGAACUCAAAGAAGAAGAACGCCCUCUUGUUCUAUCAAGAGGGCGUUCGAGUAGAGGGGCGGAUGUAGCCAAGUGGAUUAAGGCAUUGGAUUGUGAAUCCACCAUGCGCGCCUGUGUGAAAUUGUUAUCCA